Molecule: ribosomal RNA, 164 nt
Filed under: uncultured bacterium
Lineage: Bacteria
Description: partial 16S rRNA
Rfam family: Bacterial small subunit ribosomal RNA
Source: RNAcentral
UAGGGAAUCUUCCACAAUGGACGAAAGUCUGAUGGAGCAACGCCGCGUGAGUGAAGAAGGGUUUCGGCUCGUAAAACUCUGUUGUUAAAGAAGAACAUAUCUAAGAGUAACUGUUCAGGUAUUGACGGUAUUUAACCAGAAAGCCACGGCUAACUACGUGCCAC